CUUAUGUGGGGCAUGAACUUGCUUAUCUCAAGACAUGAAUUUGCUCCAGUGGGUCUUGCAUUUUUUCAGGCUAAUAAUUCCUAUGAACUUCACUGACAAUUCUUGUUUGAAAAGUGUAGGACUGAAGCACUGUGGAAGUACCUCUUCAUUCUGUGUUCAGUAGGGGUUCUUCUUGAAAACCUGGUGGAGGUGAAGGUAGGGUGUCAGGAGAGCUCAUCUUGUAAAGGUCUUGCGCUGGCAAUCUCUGGACAAUGUCCAUGUAGAUAGAUAUUUGUCAAGAGCAGAGGAAAAACUUGUCUGUCUCUAAGAAUAAAUUUUGCCAUUUCUUCACAUGAAGGGUGUAGAUGUAACUUUGACUAGAUGCUAUAUGGGAGAGAAGUUUGUGCACGGGCCUUGCUGGAGCAGUUCUGCUCCUUGUGUGUGUUGAAGGUGCACAAUUUUCUGCCUGCUGUAUGCUGUCAUACAUCUGACCUUCAGCUGGGGUAGAUGAGUGCGUUUCCAACAAAGUCCGCACAAAUCAGGCUGAGAUUCUGGCCUUGUGAUUUUGAGUUUUUGUCAGCAAAAAGGCAUGUGUCACUUCAAACUUAUUUUCUCUGUCAAAUCUUGUGUCAUCCAUAUGCAAUCUGUUAACUAUUGUCCAUGUAGGAGUUCGGACUGCUAGUGUGAUUAUUGCUCUGACGGAUGGAGAGUUGCAGGACGUUCAGUUCUAUUAUGCAGAACAAGAAGCCAACAGAGCCAGAAGCUUUGGAGCUAUCGUUUAUUGUGUUGGAGUGAAAGAUUUCAAUGAAACUCAGCUGUCAACAAUAGCUGACAGCAUCGAUCAUGUUUUUCCAGUUACGGGAGGCUUUUAUGCCCUAAGAGGAACCAUUGAUUCAAUUCUCAAGAAAUCUUGCAUUGAGAUUCUUGCUGCUGAGCCAUCCAGUGUUUGCGCAGGAGGUAAGCUCUCACAAAAUUGGGGGUGGUAAGGCAAGUAAA
Meleagris gallopavo (turkey) is the source of this 975-nucleotide non-coding RNA. The record is from RefSeq and is a predicted model, not a curated record. NCBI's taxonomy places the organism in Eukaryota, Metazoa, Chordata, Aves, Galliformes, Phasianidae.